GAUGAAGAACGUAGCGAAAUGCGAUAAGUGAUGUGAAUUGCAGAAUUCAGUGAAUCAUCGAGUCUUUGAACGCACAUUGCGCCCCCUGGUAUUCCGGGGGGCAUGCCUGUCCGAGCGUCAUUGCUGCCCUCAAGCACGGCUUGUGUGUUGGGCUCCGCCCCCCUCCCGGGGGGCGGGCCCGAAAGGCAGCGGCGGCACCGCGUCCGGUCCUCGAGCGUAUGGGGCUUUGUCACCCGCUCUGUAGGCCCGGCCGGCGCCCGCCGGCGACCCCAAUCAAUCUUUCCAGGUUGACCUCGGAUCAGGUAGGGAUACCCGCUGAACUUAAGCAUAUCAAUAAGCGGAGGA
RNAcentral lists this unclassified non-coding RNA (345 nucleotides) under soil metagenome. RNAcentral's name for it is "partial contains 5.8S ribosomal RNA, internal transcribed spacer 2, and large subunit ribosomal RNA". The stretch from base 1 to 120 matches the Rfam family "5.8S ribosomal RNA", at positions 35 to 154 of the family's 154-position model. The record is from RNAcentral.